RNAcentral lists this ribosomal RNA (440 nucleotides) under uncultured bacterium. Its description in RNAcentral is "partial 16S ribosomal RNA". It matches the Rfam family "Bacterial small subunit ribosomal RNA", at positions 338 to 795 of the family's 1533-position model. The record is from RNAcentral.
CCUACGGGAGGCAGCAGUGGGGAAUAUUGCACAAUGGGGGAAACCCUGAUGCAGCGACGCCGCGUGAGUGAAGAAGUAAUUCGUUACGUAAAGCUCUAUCAGCAGGGAAGAGAAUGACGGUACCUGAGUAAGAAGCCCCGGCUCACUACGUGCCAGCACCCGCGGUAAUACGCCGGGGGCAAGCGUUAUCCGGAUUUACUGGGGGUAAAGGGAGCGUAGACGGUGCGCCAAGUCUGUAGUGAAAUGCCGCAGCUUAACUGCAGAACUGCGUUGGAAACUGGCGAACUGGAGUUCGGGAGGGGUAGGCGGAAUUCCUAGUGUAGCGGUGAAAUGCGUAGAUAUCAGGAGGAACACCGGUGGCGAAGGCAGCUUACUGGACCGUAACUGACGUUGAGGCUCGAAAGCGUGGGGAGCAAACAGGAUUAGAUACCCGUGUAGUC